This 1252-nucleotide long non-coding RNA is filed under the name Callithrix jacchus (white-tufted-ear marmoset). Its description in RNAcentral is "lncRNA (ENSCJAG00000062111.2)". Lineage: Eukaryota; Metazoa; Chordata; Mammalia; Primates; Cebidae. The record is from RNAcentral.
AAUUUUAUAGCCAUCCUCAAAGAGUUUAAUGAAUGUGGUACCACAAGCAAAAUGUACGUCCACAUUGAAAGGAUUCUGAAUAUGUGGGCCUACUUUUCUAGAAGAUUGUAAUAAAAGCCACCAAAGCAAUUCUGGACCACUGCACAAAUUACAGGAAAACAUUCAUUAAAAUCUAUGUUAAUGUUAACGGCAUAAACAUCAUUCCAAAUAAGGACGAACACAAUGAACAUCCUGAAAUGAUCUCUGGUUCCCUUAAAAAAAAUUCGCUGCUCAGUUUGCCCCUGUGGCCGCUUGCCACCCCCAUGAUCACCACCUGUCCCUCCUCAGCGGUGCCAUAGUCCAAGAGGGCUGGAGACAAGGUUACUCUCUCUACCACCUCUACUGAUCAAGAGGAAACACAGCCUCAGAAAAGUUUUGAAUCAGCUCUAGUUACAAGAUUUCAAAGCUUGCCCUAUUUUAGUCUUGAUUCUUUUUUAUUCUCUUGAGAAAAAUGUAUCUCUGUGUGAUCAGAAAAAUAAAAAUAAAAAGCCUAAAUGAGGUCCAAAUCUGUUCAGAUAAUCACCGCAUUGGAUUAGCUAACUACAAAUAGGUCAGGAAAAGCAAUUAUAUAUAGAUAUUUCCAUCUGUCCAUGGAGCCUGGUGGUGCGUCCUAAGACAUACUGGUCUGAAUAAUUCUUCACACUCCACUGAUAUCAAAGGCUAUGCCCUGAGCAAGGAACUUCACAUUUUCAGGUCUUGGUUUUCUCAUAUACAGAAUAUGGGGUUAAACUAAAUUAUUGCAAAAUUCCUUCUUGUUCUGAAAAUAACAUAUUGGUAAAUCAUAUAACUUUGAUAAUGUUUGGAGUAUAGAAAAUCUGAAGGGGUCAAGCUUUGACUGAAAUGUUCAGAAAAUUUCUGAGCGCUAGAUGUAGUAGAAGUGGUUGAAGACAUUUUAUUGAAGUUCACUUUGAAGCCUUUAGGGGUGCGAAAUGAAACAACGUCGGCAAGGUGUGAAUUUUCACAGCAACUUUAUAAAGGUUAUCCCCAAAUAAAAUUUGUAGACACCUCCAUUUAAGUAAAAUAAAGCAAGAGGGAAUUAAAAAUGGGUGUUAAAAUGCUCCAUGUAUUUAUCUUUCAGAAUAUCCAGAUCUGCAUAUAAGAAAUUGGUCCAGGUGAAUAUAUUAGUGGAUAUGAUGGUUCCCUGGCCAGUCAGUGACCUACAUAAUCUAUAGACAUCUAACUAAUUUAAGUAAAUCAGUAAAGUGCUCAAAAU